AGUGAACGCUGGCGGUAGGCCUAACACAUGCAAGUCGAACGGCAGCACAGUAAGAGCUUGCUCUUACGGGUGGCGAGUGGCGGACGGGUGAGGAAUACAUCGGAAUCUACUUUUUCGUGGGGGAUAACGUAGGGAAACUUACGCUAAUACCGCAUACGACCUACGGGUGAAAGCAGGGGAUCUUCGGACCUUGCGCGAUUGAAUGAGCCGAUGUCGGAUUAGCUAGUUGGCGGGGUAAAGGCCCACCAAGGCGACGAUCCGUAGCUGGUCUGAGAGGAUGAUCAGCCACACUGGAACUGAGACACGGUCCAGACUCCUACGGGAGGCAGCAGUGGGGGAUAUUGGACAAUGGGCGUAAGCCUGAUCCAGCCAUACCGCGUGGGUGCAGAAGGCCUUCGGGUUGUAAAGCCCUUUUGUUGGGAAAGAAAAGCAGCAGGUUAAUACCCCGCUGUUCUGACGGUACCCAAAGAAUAAGCACCGGCUAACUUCGUG
This 492-nucleotide ribosomal RNA is filed under the name uncultured bacterium. RNAcentral describes it as "partial 16S ribosomal RNA". It matches the Rfam family "Bacterial small subunit ribosomal RNA", at positions 29 to 507 of the family's 1533-position model. The record is from RNAcentral.